This is a non-coding RNA of Dryococelus australis, 72 nucleotides long. NCBI's taxonomy places the organism in Eukaryota, Metazoa, Arthropoda, Insecta, Phasmatodea, Phasmatidae. The record is from the annotation of a GenBank genome assembly.
UGGGAUGUAGCUCAGAAGGAGAGCGCUUGAUUCGCAUGCAGCAAGACCUGGGUUCGAAUACCAGUUUCUCUA